RNAcentral lists this transfer RNA (73 nucleotides) under Cyanobacteria bacterium REEB67. RNAcentral describes it as "tRNA-Arg". It matches the Rfam family "tRNA". From Rfam's summary of the family: Transfer RNA (tRNA) molecules are approximately 80 nucleotides in length. Their secondary structure includes four short double-helical elements and three loops (D, anti-codon, and T loops). Further hydrogen bonds mediate the characteristic L-shaped molecular structure. tRNAs have two regions of fundamental functional importance: the anti-codon, which is responsible for specific mRNA codon recognition, and the 3' end, to which the tRNAs corresponding amino acid is attached (by aminoacyl-tRNA synthetases). tRNAs cope with the degeneracy of the genetic code in two manners: having more than one tRNA (with a specific anti-codon) for a particular amino acid; and 'wobble' base-pairing, i.e. permitting non-standard base-pairing at the 3rd anti-codon position. The record is from RNAcentral. Lineage: Bacteria; Bacillati; Cyanobacteriota.
GCCACCACAGCACGAAUGGACGUGCGUCCCGUUUCUACCGGGAAGGGUGUUGGUUCGACUCCAGCUGGUGGCG